GACGAACGCUGGCGGCGUGCUUAACACAUGCAAGUCGAACGGAAAGGCCCUGCUUGCAGGGUACUCGAGUGGCGAACGGGUGAGUAACACGUGGGUGAUCUGCCCUGCACUUCGGGAUAAGCUUGGGAAACUGGGUCUAAUACCGGAUAGGAGCCAUCUUUAGUGUGGGGGUUGGAAAGUUUUUUCGGUGUAGGAUGAGCUCGCGGCCUAUCAGCUUGUUGGUGGGGUAAUGGCCUACCAAGGCGGCGACGGGUAGCCGGCCUGAGAGGGUGUACGGCCACAUUGGGACUGAGAUACGGCCCAGACUCCUACGGGAGGCAGAAGUGGGGAAUAUUGCACAAUGGGCGCAAGCCUGAUGCAGCGACGCCGCGUGGGGGAUGAAGGCCUUCGGGUUGUAAACUCCUUUCGCUAGGGACGAAGCUUUGUUGUGACGAUACCUAGAGAAGAAGCACCGGCUAACUACGUG
Molecule: ribosomal RNA, 466 nt
Filed under: uncultured bacterium
Lineage: Bacteria
Description: partial 16S ribosomal RNA
Rfam family: Bacterial small subunit ribosomal RNA
Source: RNAcentral